This 1251-nucleotide ribosomal RNA is filed under the name Ceratoderus bifasciatus. RNAcentral's name for it is "partial 28S ribosomal RNA". It matches the Rfam family "Eukaryotic large subunit ribosomal RNA", at positions 88 to 858 of the family's 3401-position model. The record is from RNAcentral. Lineage: Eukaryota; Metazoa; Arthropoda; Insecta; Coleoptera; Carabidae.
GGCGGCGACAAGAACAGCCCAGCACCGAAGCCUGUUAAUAUAAAGUUUUUGUAUUAAUAUGCAAUGUGGUGUUUGGGAGAGCUCUAUACCAACAUUUUUUAUAAUAUUGUUCAAGUCCUUCUUGAAUGGGGCCACACUUCCACAGAGGGUGCCAGGCCCGUAGAACUUUUAAUUUAUUAUGUUGGUGAGUUUCUCCUUAGAGUCGAGUUGCUUGAGAGUGCAGCUCUAAGUAGGUGGUACACUCCAUCUAAGGCUAAAUAUAACCACGAGGCCGAUAGCGAACAAGUACCGUGAGGGAAAGUUGAAAAGAACUUUGCAGAGAGAGUUCAAAAGUACGUGAAACCGUUUAGAAGUAAACCUGUUAUGCUUCAUUAAUUUGUAAACGAUAUGCAGAGAGAUUCAACAUGCUUUACCGAUUACAACACUGCAUUAAUUAUUUUUGUGUUAUAUGUAGUAAUUCUAUUACAUGUACGCAAUUUUAUAUUUGAGACGAUGCAAUAUAUAUUAUUAUUAUAUUAUACGUUAUUUACCUUUUGUUUUUUUCUUUUUGUAUUAAAGCAAAAGGCGUUUCAUUAUUAUAUAAAUUUAGAUAUGUAUAUUAUUGUUCGCUCAAUUUUUGUAUUGUCUAGUUUGUAUCGGAGCUGUGCACUUCUCUCUGUAUGUUGCGUUGCGACACGUUAUAUGUAUCGUUUUUCUAUUUGUGUUAUAAAUAUAUAUUAUUUGUCUUAUUUUUGCGUGAAGGGGCCUACAAAGAUUUAGUUACCUGGGAAUUGGAAAUGGUUAUGCGUUUUUUCUUCCCAGGACUUGUAGUGUCCUAACGAUCAAUGUAACGUUAUAGCAUUAUAUAAAAUAAUGUAUCCUAAAUUGUAUGUGAUUGGAUAUCAUUUAUUUUCUGUCAGCAACGUAUAUAUUUGAAAUUUAGAAGAGUAAUAACAGGACCCGUCUUGAAACACGGACCAGGGAGUCUAGCAUAUUUGCAAGUUAUAGAGUUCGAAUUAAAACUCAUAGACACAAUUAACGUAAAGAGUGUAUGCACACGCACAUCUACGUACGCGCGUGUAUGUGUGUGUGUGUCACUAAGGGAGGAUAGGUAGGAAAUAUUUGAAAACUACCUCGCACUCCUAGGGCGUUCCGUAUAAAUUUUUGUUCGAAUAGUAGUAUUUGUUAUGAAAAUUUGGGGCGCACCAAGAGUAUAUACGCUAGGACCCGAAAGAUGGUGAACUAUGCCCUGGUCCAGGAUGAAGUCCGGGG